Molecule: ribosomal RNA, 333 nt
Filed under: uncultured bacterium
Lineage: Bacteria
Description: bacterial SSU rRNA
Rfam family: Bacterial small subunit ribosomal RNA
Source: RNAcentral
AGCGUAGGUGGCUGAUUAAGUUAUAAGUGAAAUUCCGGGGCUUAACCCCGGCGCUGCUUAUAAAACUGAUCGGCUUUGAGUGCAGGAGAGGUAAGCGGAAUUCCUAGUGUAGCGGUGGAAUGCGUAGAUAUUAGGAGGAACACCAGAGGCGAAGGCGGCUUACUGGACUGUAACUGACACUGAGGCUCGAAAGCGUGGGGAGCAAACAGGAUUAGAUACCCUGGUAGUCCACGCCUUAAACGAUGAAUACUAGGCUUGAGGAGUAUCGACUCUUCUUGAGCCGUAGCAAACGCGAUAAGUAUUCCGCCUGGGGAGUACGGCCGCAAGGUUGAA